This is a non-coding RNA of Vicia faba (fava bean), 268 nucleotides long. The record is from the annotation of a GenBank genome assembly. NCBI's taxonomy places the organism in Eukaryota, Viridiplantae, Streptophyta, Magnoliopsida, Fabales, Fabaceae.
AAAAAAAAACUCAGAUCCCUUUUCCCGAGCACCGCCUCCACUGCGAUUGCUGAUUGUCACCAUCGCAAUCUGCGACGACUGUUGUGUCACCGCCCGCGACCUGCAACGGCGUCAUUCUCGAUCAGUUGCGCGCAAACCUUUUCCUGCUUGUGACUGUCUCAAAGGCGCCACAAAUCUGAUUGAAGGUAAUCACGGUGUUUGUUCUUCGUUGAAUUUGUAUGAAUGUUUCUGGUUGUUAUCAUUAGUAAAUCCUACUUUCGAAUUUUGA